GUGCCAGCCGCCGCGGUAAUACCGGCAGCCCAAGUGAUGGCCGCUGUUAUUGGGCCUAAAGCGUCCGUAGCUGGCCGCACAAGUCCAUCGGGAAAUCCACCCGCCCAACGGGUGGCCGUCCGGUGGAAACUGCACGGCUUGGGACCGGAAGGCGCGAUGGGUACGUCCAGGGUAGGAGUGAAAUCCCGUAAUCCUGGACGGACCGCCGAUGGCGAAAGCACGUCGCGAAGACGGAUCCGACAGUGAGGGACGAAAGCUAGGGUCUCGAACCGGAUUAGAUACCCUAGUAGUCC
This 293-nucleotide ribosomal RNA is filed under the name uncultured bacterium. Its description in RNAcentral is "partial 16S ribosomal RNA". It matches the Rfam family "Archaeal small subunit ribosomal RNA", at positions 455 to 747 of the family's 1478-position model. The record is from RNAcentral.